Molecule: long non-coding RNA, 635 nt
Filed under: Vigna radiata
Lineage: Eukaryota; Viridiplantae; Streptophyta; Magnoliopsida; Fabales; Fabaceae
Description: long non-coding RNA (VRAD_LNC008922)
Source: RNAcentral
UGAACCUUGUGAUGUGUCACUGAUUGUACUAGAAAUUAGUUUAUGUAUGUUGAGUUUUAAUGUCUCUUGAAUGAUGAACGAUGUGCUGAGAAUUUCCUGUGAACUAUUAUUGAGUAUGUUGUCUUGCUGGAAUUGAACUUGUUGAUGGGGUGAAAUGGGUCAUACUAUUUAAUAGGCAAUAAUUUAAGUGAAACUGGUGCUUUUGAAUGGGUUUAAAGGAAGUGAGCAGGUGAUUUUGAGCAAUUGAGGUAUGGGGUGUAAGAGGGUUGUUGGGACAGUUUAGAGGAGUCAUUUGAGACUUAUUAGAAGUGCCAAAAUGGUCAAAAACGCAUUCUAAAUGGUAAAUCAAGAAUUAAGUCUCUAGGUUGAUAAAAUUGAGGUUUUUGGGAGUAAAUUGGUGCAUAAUUACUUUAUAAUGAUGUUAGGAGCACCUAGAACCACUUAGACAAGUUAAAUAUGUAUAUACUACGAUCUAGGACCAUUAAAAGUUAAGGAAACUGUCUAGAAUGAGUUUUGGGGAGUUGGGUUGCAUAAAUCUGAAGAAUUUCAUUCUACAGAUUAUGCAGACUCGUUGUGCGAGAGGAUUCACACAACAAGUUGCCCUGGCGAGAAGUUCUCUGCCAGGGCAUUCGCAU